UACGAAGGGGGCUAGCGUUGCUCGGAACCACUGGGCGUAAAGCGCACGUAGGCGGGUUGCCAAGUCGGGGGUGACAUCCUGGAGCUCACCUCCAGAACUGCCUUCGAUACUGGCGAUCUUGGAGUCCGGGAGAGGUGAGUGGAACUGCGAGUGUAGAGGUGAAAGUCGUAGAUAUUCGCAAGAACACCAGGGGCGAAGGCGGCUCACUGGCCCGGUACUGACGCUGAGGUGCGAAAGCGUGGGGAGCAAACAGG
RNAcentral lists this ribosomal RNA (254 nucleotides) under uncultured bacterium. RNAcentral's name for it is "partial 16S ribosomal RNA". It matches the Rfam family "Bacterial small subunit ribosomal RNA", at positions 524 to 776 of the family's 1533-position model. The record is from RNAcentral.